CAGCACCUCAAGUGGUCAGGAUGAUUAUUGGGCCUAAAGCAUCCGUAGCCGGCGCUGUAAGUUUUCGGUUAAAUCUGUACGCUCAACGUACAGGCUGCCGGGAAUACUGCAGCGCUAGGGAGUGGGAGAGGUAGACGGUACUCGGUAGGAAGGGGUAAAAUCCUUUGAUCUAUUGAUGACCACCUGUGGCGAAGGCGGUCUACCAGAACACGUCCGACUGUGAGGGAUGAAAGCUGGGGGAGCAAACCGGAUUAGAGACCCGAGUAGUCC
RNAcentral lists this ribosomal RNA (270 nucleotides) under uncultured archaeon. RNAcentral's name for it is "partial 16S ribosomal RNA". It matches the Rfam family "Archaeal small subunit ribosomal RNA", at positions 477 to 747 of the family's 1478-position model. The record is from RNAcentral.